GGGACGGAAGCUGGUCUCCCGUGU
Molecule: small nuclear RNA, 24 nt
Filed under: Arabidopsis thaliana (thale cress)
Lineage: Eukaryota; Viridiplantae; Streptophyta; Magnoliopsida; Brassicales; Brassicaceae
Description: snRNA_14138
Source: RNAcentral